GUUUCUGAGCCGCGAGUAUAUAUAGGGGAGGCACGACAACGCAGAAAACAGACGACAACAGGAGCUGGGAGAGAAUCCCCGCCGUGCAAGCGCUUCUCGGCGCUGGCGGGGAUGGCUUGUCUGCGAUGUUGGGCUGGAGACGGAGCAGAAAAGUAAUAAAAAGAGGAUGGAAGGGCACUUGACAAUUAAUGCCUCUGGCUGCGGGAGACAUGAAGUACAUGGCACAUUGGUUUGUUGGGGCCUUUGGGGAUUGCUCUCGCACAUUGGCCAUCUUAACUGAUCCUGAUGCCCGAGGUCUUAUUGUCCAGGCUGUCUGGGUGACACGUCGGUAGUCAACUUGUGGUCUUCGCGUCUUUACAGUUGUUGCUGCCACCAUCCUUUUUCCUAUGGCUCCAUAUAACUUGCACUCUUAAGUGUAAUCAUUAUUAAAGUAGACUAUGGUUGGCCUACACUGUUACCUCAACAAUAACAAGUGAUGUCUGCAAAUGAAAAAAAAAAUUAAGGUUUAUCUGGUUAAAUGGCUUGAUGUGCAAGCACAUCAAAUGUCAUCACAAAAAGUAAUAUAGCUUGAUAACUAUAGUGUAAAAUUUGGAGCUGAAAGCUGCAGAUGGGUCAAUUUAAAAUAUGUUUCAGUUGACAUUGUGGCAUAUUUGGCUUUCAUAAAAUGUUCACAUUACAUAUCUGCAAAGUGCUUAAUGAGUUACUACAUGUACAAAUCAGCUGUAAAAUAUGUUCAAAAACCAGCUGACAUUUUGUCUUUAAUGUCUUACUGUUGGGCUUUAUGUUGUUGCAUGAUUAUAUAACAUUGCUAAAAAUGCAACAGCAAUUGAAAAUUUUGGAAUUUAGCAUAUAUUAGGUUGUGGUUGAUGCUUUUUUCUUCAUAGCAAUUGAUCCCUACAGCUUUGGGGCAAAUUGAAAUAUUUUUGAAUGCUGUACAACAUGGCACUCCAUAAGAACAGUUACCUAAAUCUUCAGUAACCAACAAGGACGUACAUUUAAGAAGUGGAAUUGUAAAAAGCAUCAAUUUGCUACCAUUUGGGAAAAAAUUGGAUUUUCAUAAUGCCACACUCAAAUGGGGAUGGAGUAUCAUUUUUCUGGAAAUGCAAAACUUGUCAAGACACGCGAGGCACCAAAAGGUUGAUAUACCUUCAACUUGCAUGCAGAAAACACUGCAGAUGAUGUUUUGCACGUGCUUCACCAUCAUACAUACCUGAGUACUGUAAGCAAGUACAGAUCCCAAGGCAUUUCAUCGGCACAUCAUUGGCGAUGGAAGCACACAACACUAUGUAAAGGGGGAUCAUUAUCAUUAGUAAGUAUUCUUAUGGGCAACUGUUAGAUUUUGCAAAUCUGUUAAAGUAUUUCCAAUAACACCCAGUUCAUUUCACAGGUCAAGAAAAAAGUUUAAAUCAAGAUGAGCAGAUGCUUGAAAAAUUUUCUUGCAAUAAAAAUUACCUUAAAGAUGAGCAUGAAUAAGUAUUUUUACAGUACUGUCUGUUGGCUUUUAAAUUAGACUCUAGUGACCAAGUUUUUCUCGAGUUCAACCUUUCUGUAUUGCUGUGAUACAAUUUUUUUUUAAAUAUAUUUUUUGGGGUUGGGCUUCAAAACUUAUUACCAUUGUUGUCUGUAGAUAUUUCGGUUGGGGGAGUUCUCUGGCUUAGUCUAUACAUGUUGGGUGUCUUCAUUUAUACUUUUGAUUAUUGUGUAAUGUGCAGUAAUAUCUGAAGUUAUUGUGGCUGGUAUUAGUAAGAGAGUAAUUUUUUUCCCCGCUAAAAUGCAGAUAAUAUCAAUUAGUAUGGUGGGUCUUCUGUUAAGUCUUUAUCCAUCAGCAGUAGAUUUCCACCUGAAGUGCAGUAACAGUGGUCUUUUCCUGCUUUUUGGGUAUGGGCUAGUUCGUCAACACCAUCAGAUAGGAGAUUGGGUGUUGGAUUUUGUGUGUGUGUGCAUUCUAGUCAGAUAGCUCUUGUGGUGGGUUUUUUUUUUCUUUGUUCAGCCUGUGUGCUGGGUUUCUGCUGUUGUAAACGUUAUCAUUAGAGAAUCUUUUCUAAAGCCGUUAAGAUUAGUCAAGAGAUUGUCUAAUGAAAAAAUACCUAUCUUGGACAUGUGCGAUAGCUUUUUUUUUAUUUUUAUUUUUAAGGCUUCACAUCAUGUGUUUGGCACAAUGGGGUAUUACAAGCUGGCAGAUUAAGAUGACCUGAAGCCCGUCGUUGUUGCAGUUAAUUCCACUUGGAUUAUCUAGAAGUAGUAGUGGCACUGCUUUAAAAUGGCACGUACCUGCUUGAAGCAUCAUGAGCUGAAUUUGAAGUCGUCUAGUGGAUGCAGUCCAGUGCAUUUUGUAUUUGGUGUGAGAAGUAUCGUUCUGUGGUAUUCAUUUUCUUAAGGAUACAUGAUGUCAGAACAAUUUUUUUUUGUCUUUUGAAAUUCAUAAAGACUUUUCUGGUAUGUCUUCACUUAGUUUCUGAUUAAUCCUUACAGAGCUUAAUAGUUCAUACUCUGAUAAGUUGAUGUACAUGACAUGUGUGUAUAGUGGCAUGGGCUAAAUUCUUUUUUAGGCUCUACAUGCUGCAACUCGUCCUUGUGCAAGGCCUGGAUGUUCGAUACCAGUCUUGGGUCUACAGAGUACCUGUUAUGAGCUCAUGAAAUCAUUCAUCUUUGGACAUCCCCCUUAAUCUUCGCAGCUUGUGGGCUUGCCUGACCCAAAUUUCAGUCUUUUCUUAAAACCACAGGUCAUCUUUACCUUGUCUAAGGACUAAACAUGUAGAAGGGCACAAUUAUGUUCAGAGCUGACCUGAAGUUGCCACUACAAUGGUAUCUUAUAGCUGUCUGGAAUGAGUAUCAUCUGCAACUGGGUAAUUUGUAAUUUAAUUUCAUUUCAUGGAAAAAGUUUCCAUUAAAAUCUUCAAAUAAGUGAUUGACAGAAAGAAUUAGUCUUCUGACAUGGCUAGUAUCACAACAAAGCAGUUUCAAGCUUCUAACAUCAAAAUUUUUUUAGGCUUUUUUUUUUCCUUUUAACAAGAUGUGCAGUUUAGCUUGGGCUUGCCAUUUUUUGUUUUGUUUUUUUAGGAUCUUGAUACAGGAAAAAUGUGCAAGUCAGUUACCAGUGUUGGACAACAUGCUGGCUGAUGUAAAACAUUUAAAAAUAAGGAAGCGCUAUUUUAGACCUGAAGGUACACUCCAUGGGCCCAUAAAAACUGAAUCUGCACUGGGCUUGAGCUUUGCCGGUCUGAAUUUUCUGUACAUGCUAUCGUGUUCUACCCAAGGACCCAGCCUUGUUAGAGUGGUCAGUUCUAAUGUGGACCUGUUUGGUAACAAGUGUCGUUCUCUAGUUUAAAAAAAAAUAGUUUCAAGGCCACUGAUAUUUUUGCUUUUUAACCUGUUUAUAUGUGUACACUAUAAAGUUAGCAUGUACAGUUCCUUUUUAUUCCUUAAGCAAGUGUGCACUGAAAGGGCACUGAAGUAUAGUGUUCAGUUACCUUCAAUUACCAUUUAAUCAGACUUUGAUAUCGGACAAUAUCAGUCUCAGUAAAGACACACCUUUUGUAGAUAAUUUGGUUUCUAAUGUGGAAUAGUUUGGUUUUUUUUUUUUUUUGUCUGCCAUUCUUUACUGUUAGGUUUUAAUGUUCUUGAGCUCAUUGCAGUUUCAAAGUUAUUUUUCACAAAGAUUACCUGGAGGUCUGUGGCUGUAGCCAGCUUUUUAAAAUCAUUCUCUUCAUAUUGCCCAGGAGCUCUUCUCUGUACAAUCAUCCUGAUGUGGACUUCAGAGCCUCUUGAUGUUCCAUGGCAUCCCCAGCUUGAGCACUUCUGACAGUCCUGUUGUCUUAACCUGCAUUUCUUGGGGGCAAGCUGCCGUUCAGUACCACUUUAAAAAAUUUUUAAUCAUCCUGAUGUGGACUUCAGAGCCUCUUGAUGUUCCAUGGCAUCCCCAGCCUCAGCACUUCUGACAGUCCUGUUGUCUUAACCUGCAUUUCUUUGGGGCAAGCUGCUGUUUAGUAUCACUUUAAAAAAUGAUUAUAAAUGAUAUUUUAAAUGAGCUAAGCAUUCCUGAUAUUUCUUCAGUUCAUUAGGAAAUAAUUCAAAAACAAUUUUACUCCAUGGCCUUGGUAAGGGCCACAAUAACCCUUUUGUAUUUGAAUGGAUAAGCUACUGUCCCAUGCCACAAGUGUUGCUGUGCAAAAUGGUUUUGGUUCGCCUGUUUGGUAAGCUACUGCAGCUGUUCUACCAAGGAAAUGGUCUUCUCGUCCGUGAGAUAUCCAUGGAAACUGGGUUCUGCAUUUUUUCUCCUUAACUGCGCACAUUGUCCAUCAAUUCUGGCUUGGUUAUCAGUAAGUCUGUAGUAUAAUUAGUCAUCUUUAUUUCUUUUUAGUUUACAUCUGUUUAAUGAUCAUCACUUAAGAGUUUGCAAUACACUGCAACUUGUAUGCUUCUGCAUUUGUUUAAAGUAAUUUUAGGUAGCAAUUCUCAUCUGAUGGGAAACUAACAAACUAUACAAUAUUUCGCUGUAAUCAAUGGAGUAAUGAUGCAGCUUGUGUUACCCUGUUUAAAUAUAGAGGUCCUUACCUCCGUGCCCCAUGAGUAUGGGUAUAGUGUCGAUUGUUCAGCUAAAGAUUGCACAUUUGUCAACUAGGAUCAACUUCAGUCUAUAAGACUGCUAGUACCAAUCACCUUGAUGGGAGAAAACAUUUCCAGGCAUUUCAGAACUACUGUCAAACUUUAGAGCACAAUAUAACCCACAUUUUAUUAAGAUAGUCCCAUGAUGCCAGAAACCACCUUUUAGAAUUUUUCUUAAACACAUGCUGUUUGUACUAUCUGUAGCUUUCUUCUCUGGAAAAUGGCAAGUGGUUCUCAUCAAAUCUUACAUGCUUUGACAUUAAAUCUUGCUACUUGAAAGCAGUUAUUCCAAGAAUGUAGAUAAUCCAAGCUUGAAUGUGCUUGUUGCUGUAUAACUUUCCCCCCAUGUCGUGCUUUUUUCUUUGGCAGCAUUUUAGUAGAUAAACACCUGCAGCUGGGGUCUCAACAAACCCGUGUAACCCUCCUCUAACUGCUCUGGUUUUCUUGCUUCCUUCAUCCCCGAGACCACUAGGAUUUUAGUUGCUGGCAUGGUGUAAAACUCCAACAACCAAUCCAAGACCAAGCCUUCCAUGUUUGCAUCAGUAUUGUCCUCCUACCAGUACCAUCAAUCAACUCCUGUACAUCAUCCACGAACCUACCUUAUUGACAGGAAUGCCUGGAAACCAACUGUCAAGCCCUCUUACCUAGAAGAUUGUAAUGCUCAUCACUGCUCUGCAUGCAGCAUUUCACCUUUCCAUGGCCUGUCAUUUUUAAGUUUGCUCAACUCCAGCUUGACAAAUAGGUCUUCGAUUGUGAUGGCAUGAGACAACAUGCGCACCCACACCUCCGCAGGCUUUCCAUGCACGCAUCUGUUCUCAGUGUUGCUUCUAUCAGCCACUUCACCUGGCCUGUACUUUACACCAGUCUCUCGGUUGUUAUGACCAUGCCUUAGUAUUAUUGACCAACGCUUUUGUUGUCCAUAAUGUACCAUGCAUAUGGUUGCCAAAGACAGUUAAAAACAGUUUGUCCCUGGCCAUCAAAUACCUGACCAACUGAACCAACAGUUUUGGCGAGAUGUGCUUCACCCAUCCACAGCUCCCCACAGCAAAAAGGGCUCCGUUUCCUUCACCACUUAGUCUUUAUUCAGUGACGUCCUUAUAGCCUCAGUAAUGGGAGUUGGAUGAACUACAAGGAGUGUUAUAUUACUAAGUGGAACCAUAACGUGGAUAAUUGUAUUCAAGUUUGUCUUCUGAUCCCAGGCCUAGGUUAUGUAGAAGCUAACAGAAUAAUUUAAAGUGUGUCGUCUCUAGUUGUAAGGAAUAGCUUGCUAAGCCAGCAGUGCCAGCACUAAUGAAGCAGUUGUCUUAUAUUGGCGGUAUGAUAUGCUUGUCGAUGUUUUUUUCCCUAGGUCUUUCACUAAUAGUUUUUUCUUAUAUUGGCUAUUGUGCAUGCAACAGCGGCUUCUGUUUCAAGAUGUAUUCUAAAAACACUGAAAUUUUAAUCUGUAUUUUGUUCACUUCUGGGUUGUCUACGUGGAGAGUAUUGUUGUGCCUAUGUUAAACUGGAGUCAUUCAUUACUUCAUAUUAUUGUUUUAGGUUUUCACUGUGCUUGAAAUGACUGUAAUAUACAGCAAUUUGAAUUAACCAGCAGUUUGUAAUGUCAAAGGAAGAUAACCAUAGAUCACUAUUAUCUUUUUUAAGAUGCAUGGGCUGAAGCGAACAUUCUAAUGUGUGAUCUUUCAAUUUUAAAACUUAUUAUUUCUCAACAUUCUUAACUCAUUCUUAACCACAAUUGCAAACGUCUUUAUAACUACAGCUUGGUUGUAUCAGUGUACACCCAUAGUGAUUUAUUUUAAUAAAAAAACCUUUUAGUUGCAUCGGUGGUUAUUAAGAGUUGCUCAUCAUACAUCAGAGAUUGUGCAAACAAGAUGAGAGCAUAAUAUGCUCUAACAAAAGUCUAAAGCCUGCAUUUAUUGUAAAAUGGGAGAUGUAAUUUUGUUUCAUGGCAACUUGUGGUUGUCAAUCUUGUUAGUCAUUUGUCCAUGAAAUGUUUUUAACAUCUGUUAAAUUCUAAUAUUCUUAAAACAAUCCCAAAUUGGCUUUUGGUUUUGUUUCAGUAAAAAGUUUUUUUAAGACCAUAUUUGGACCAUAAUUCAUAGCUGUUAACAUCAGUCUGUCAGGGGCAGUUUAUAAAAUCCUUAGAGGACUCUGCAUCGAUCAUUUCAUGUGCUAAAACACAUUAACUUUGAUAAAAAGAUUACAUUGGAAGUUCUAAACAUAUGGCUUUGCAACAAAAUAGUCUGUUGUGAAACAAGUCCCCUUGCUAAGACUGGUCGUAACAGAUAAGUUUGAGGUGCUGGCUAAAAAGCAUGUUAAAAACAUAAUUCUCGAAGAAUAAAAGUGUUUUUGUUUCAAUGCUGAAAUAAGAAAAGGGCAUUCCUUUUCUUCAACUGUGUUUCUGGGGGAACUCAAGGGCACUAGUAUCCAAUAAACAGGAUUCUCUGAACUUAAAAGGUUUUCACAUUCGUACAAAUUUUGAAUGAAUGUCGUGUGUUAUGCAAAAUCAUUCUGGCAUAUUGACAGUUGUUUUGACUUUGUUAUAUAGAGCACAUGGUAGAAAAAUGGAACAGAUGUGUGCUGGGUAAACCUUACCAAAAUCUUUCCAUAAGAUCAGUUAUUCUUUAAAAAAAAUUUAAAAAGUGCACGUGAUGACAUACACAACUGCUUUCACAUGUAUAUACAGUCUGGAUUAUUGUUCCGAUCCUUUUAUGCUUCUUUAUUUGUGCUUAGUUCAGUCUUUCCAGAUCUCUUUCUGUAUGUUCUUUUUUUAAUCCCUCAGCACGCGAUUUGCUUUUGACAAUGGCUACCUGUGGGAAAUAUGACUUAAUCUCUAUUCUGAGAUGUUGGAGAGAACAUACUCUUUCCUGCGCAAACAAGAAAAAAGGUGUGAGAAAAGGUAUAAAUAGCUAGGAAUCUGCCGUUAACAAGUAAGACAAAAUGUUUACUAAUUUUACGUGGAAAUCCAUGUUAAAUAUUUUUGCUGUUACUACCGAUACCAAAUUUGCUGGUCAAUUAUUGAAUUUUAGUUACAAAAACUUCCUACACCAAAAAAAAAAUUGUUAAAGAAUUUAUGCACUUACUGUCAUCUAUAUGAUAAAUUUACAAACUUGAACUGCUUUGUUAAGAGAGCUGAACAAAAUUUUUUUAAUAAUGCAAACAGCCAAGUAAGUUUAAUUAUGGGAUUAACACUUUGUUUUUGUGUUAUACACAUAGGAAAACAAACUUAGAAUUUUUAACCCUGCUGUGUCCGAGUUGUCUGUUAAAAAUAAAAUUUGUUCAUAAGACCAUAAGGAAAUAACUACCUGUACAAAUGAAUUUUUUUUGGCGGGGUAUGCAAAAUUAUCAUUUUAAUUAUUGCAUUGUAUGUUCAUUAGUCAAUUGUGAGUAUUGUAGGAACAAUACAUUGUUGAUGUUAUGUUGAAUUAUGAAAACUCAGACUGUUUAAUUAGAUGACAUUGAACUUCCCAAAAUAUGACAAAUAGAAUAUGGAUAAGAAAUUAUUAAUGUAGUGUGGAGUUGAUGCUACAAGACUUGAAGUAUGCUUAUAUAAAAAGUGAAGUCUUAAGUUGACUAAGUCAUGUGGCAAAAGCUUACACUGGUUGGUUGAAAUCGCAAUUCAAGCUUGUUGAGGCAAGUUAAGAAAGCACUUGUUGAGAUUUGAGUUGAAAUCACAAUACAAGAAGAUGGUGGAAGCUUGUUAAAAAUUAAGAAUGUAAUUGCUUGGUUGAAAUCCCAAUAGAAGAUGGUUGAAUCUUGUUAGAAAUUUAUAUUGUUGAAAAUGAAGAAAGCUCUUGCAGGGAUUUGUGGUUAAAAUUCCAAUACAAGAAGAUGGUUGUAGUUCAAAAAUUAAAUUUAGUUGAAAAUUAAGCACUAGCUGGGAUCUGUGGUUGGAAAUCCCAACUUAAGAAGAUGGUUGAAGCAAGUUAAACAAUUAAGAAAGAAAGCACUGGCUGAGAUUUGUGGUUGAAAUCACAAUACAAGAUGGUUAAAGUUUGUUAAAAUAUUUAAAUGGUUAAAAAUUAAGAAAUCUCAUCAUUAUUUUUUUUUAUGUUUAUGUUAAGUCAGUACUUUGCAUUUGGCAUAACAUGGACAAUUGCCAUGAUAUAUAGCAUUCACAACUUUAUUACUCCCUUUCCAUGCACUUAAAAAUGUUAAAGCUUUGCUGUCACCAUACAUUCACGGAGUGAAAAUGUUAAUAAACUAUUAAGAUUUAUUCAUGUUGAUAUGCAACUCGUCAAUAACACUUAAUAAACAGCAUUUGAGUGGUACUUACAGCAUUCUUUCUGCUUGGAAAAAUUGAGGAAAGUUGAUGCAUUGCAAAUUAUUUAUGAUAAUUUACUUUGAUACUAAAGUAUCUUUUUUUGUUACAUCAUAUUUCAGUGAGACUUGCAAGAACAAAGUGUAUGUAAUAAAGCUUAAGUUGUCUUUAGUGGGGGUCAAAAAAGCUGGUAAUUAAAAGUGUACUGUGAUGUAUAAACUUCCUUGUAAAUAUUCUGGUGGAAAUCUAGAACACUGUCAUUUAGAUAAGUACAGCUUUCAAAAUAUUUUUAUUAGAUAGGUAAUAUGUUAGCUAGUUGAAAAAAGUAAUAGUGGGUUAAAAACUAUUAACAUAUAUAAAUGGAACUGUGUAACUACUUUGGGUGGUUUUGCAUAAAAUUUUGGACACUGGUAGUUAACAGUUAUGAGCGUAUAAAAUAAAGUUUGCUGAAAAAAGAAUUUAAUGAUACAUUUUCUACAUAAUAGUAGGCUUAAUGAAAAACGCAUGAUUUUGCAUGUACGGUGCUUGCUGUUGUCUCACUUUCUUAAAGCCUCUGUUGAUGGUAUAACUUUAAACCGAAACAGCCAAUACUGACCUGUAAAAAGUUAACUAUGACAUAUGGCAAAAAAUUUUAUCAAAAGCUACAUUUGACAGUUGAAAAAACAGUUGCCAUCAUGGUUGAACCAGUCCUUUUUCAUGGUAUGUGCUGAAAUCGCUGAGGAAAGUUAAUAUUUACUGUCAAUGAAAGCCUCUGACAAAAUGUGAAGAAAAAUAUGAUCUACACAUAAAGUUGGUGCAGAUUUUUGAAAAAACAACCUGUGUUUGGAGGUAUUAGACAAUGUGGAGAAAUUUUGAUAAAUGCACUCAUGGAACAGGCACCAAGUUUUGCACAAGAUGGAAAGGAAAUAAUCUGACGAUAACGAAGUCUUUUAACAAGAAGUCUGACGAAAGUUUUCUUCGAAGCAGCAAAAAAAAUGUUAUUAGCAUUGAGCGCUGCAUGAUCAUCCAAGCUCUGGAAAAAACGGAAGACACCCUAACACUUCAGAAAAAGGCAGAGAUGGCAGAAAUGACCAUUUGCCAUAUUUGUAUGACUACACAGAGGUAUUUUAUUAAUAUUUAAUAGUGUAAAAGAUGUUGGAAUAAUUAAAUUGUGCAUUUGUGGUGAUAUGGAAACCUUUGAAAACAUCCUUAUGCUUACAUAGAUCUGUUUUUAUUUUCUUUCAAUCUUAUCUGAAGAUGUAAGAAGAAAUCAUAAUUAUUACAUAAAAAAGUAUUUCAAUCACAACUAAUGAAGUUGAAAAAAACAGUGAUAAAAAUAUUGCAAUUUGUAUGAUCUGCCUGAGCUGCCACAUUUGACAAAAAGUAAAGUUAUAUAGUACUCAGGUAGUGAGACUGAGUUGUAAGAUUUUGCUUAGUGAAGUAGAAAAAAAAAAAUGCUAAUGCUGGUCAUUUGUCAAAAUGACAAAAUAUGUUGAGUGCUUUUUUACCCCCCUUUCUUAUUAAGAGUGGAGAUACGUACAAUGUAAUUUCCAGCAUAGGUUUUUAUUGAUAGUACUUUAAAAGAUCGUUUUGGGCUACGACCAUUUGGGUACUUACCAUGCACUUUUUUUCUUAUCUUGAUAGGGUGGAGUUUAACCCAUGAAAUAAUCUAAUAGUAAAAGUUUUAAAAAGCUUUUGUUUGAUAGAGAAAAUCCAAUAACAUUUAGAUGUACAAUACAAUUGCCAGUAUAUGGUUAUUGAUGGGAUUUUAACUGUUGGGCUUUGAGCAUGUGGGCAGUCAUGCAGGGUGCUUUUGUUACUAAUUCAAAUUGAAAUACCAGUUGUCUAUGUUGAAUGGUUAUGUGUGCACAGUUUCAGUAGGACUUAAGGAGUGGUAGAACACUGCAUCCAAUGUCUUUACAGAUUGCUUUUGCAUUAGUGGGUUAGAAACACUAGCAUGAACUUAAAGCCAGUGUGCUUAUAGGAAACAGAUUCUGUAAUAGAUUUUAAUAGAUACUUCAGUGUGACCAUAUUCUCACUAUUGAAAGCUUAAUUUUAUGUUUUAUCUUGUGUUUGUUUGGUUUUUUUAUUUUUUUAUUUGCAUUAUCAGUAUAAGGUGUGUAGCAAUCACUGACAAACUUUUUGUAAGGUACAGCAAACUCACAUGGUACUCAUGCUCAAUAGUACCUUUUUACCCCAAGAUUUAUUGGCUUCUUUCACAAUGUGCUUAAGAAUUAAUGGUCAAAAGAAGAUACUUUUAGAUGAAAAAAAAUGUACACCAGAAAAGAUUCAGCUUGGACCUAGAAGUUAAUCAUCGGUUUGCCAAAAAUUGAUCACUACUAACUCCUUGUUAACAGAUCAAUAGUAGAUACUAUUAAAUAGUGCGGCCCUAUCUUCCUCAAGGAGUGCUUCAUUACCUUUGCCAUCCAUGAUGAGUUCUUUGGUUUUAGUUUCAGUAAUGGGCUUUUUUUUUUUUUAACUUGGUGGGGUUGUUAGCCCUACUACAACCUAUUUUACCUGUAGGUGAGGUGUCCACCUUAGUUGCCUCUUAACACAUGCCUGGCUGGAUGGCAGGGACCCUAUUCUUGUAAUGCUCGCUAGGCAAGCAUACCCCGGGUCCUACAGGGGUCCUCAAGGAGUAACAAGGAAUAAACUAACCAUUAAAUAGAAAAUGUCCUAAUGUUAAACCUAAUAUUGUAUGGGGAAAAAAUCCCAUUGUCCCUAAAGACAAGGACUUGGGAGACAUUAGAAAGUGCUGGGAAAAUAAGAAAUAACAAAAAAUAUUUACCUGAGACCUUAUUCUUUAGUGAUAUGUAGCAUUCAAAGCUCAGUGACUUGAGUUCCACUGCCUCUCUGUAACUUGUAAGCAAGAAAUAUCUGUUUUCAGUAGAAAGGUAAACUCAAAUAUAUACAAGAAAUGAGACCAUUUUUGAAUUGUUCAUAAAAUAGCUUUUGGUAUAUUGCAGGAUUUUACAUUCACACAAAACAAAAAGAUAUCACUAAUAUAUAUGAGAACAUACUAAUCAUGAUAAAGGUCUGAGCAUGAAUAAAGACUAUGAAUUACAUCGGUGAAAAUAUAAAUGCUAUAACCAUAAAAGCAGAUGGUGAUAAUUUCCAGCAGUGGCACUGAUAUUUUGUCUUAUUGACAUUAGAUUCUACAAUUCUUACAAUGUUUUCAAUUAUGUAUGUAGGUAUUAAGCUGUAGUUACCUUGUUUCAUAGGAAGUUUUUAACUUAAAUUUCUGCAUUCUUGCUUAGAAGUCUAGUACUUAUGUAUCAUGCAUGCAUCAUUUGCCAUAAAAGCUCAUGUUUACCUGAGAUGCAUAUUCUUUGACAAUAGCUGUCAUUGAAUAAUAAUUUUGGUAAGUUACCUUGUGAGCUUGUCUUAAGAAAAGGGCAUAGAACAAUGUGUAUUGCCAGUAAAUAAGAUGGUUAAAUGGUUACUAUAAUAAAUCUUUGUUUUUAAGAUUGUCAUUUCUCCUGGAUGUUCUGUAGUGAAAAUAAAGGCAUUUGACAUGACUGUGCUAGGCUUCACAUGCAUGCUACAGAUUUGAUUCUAUAACUUUGUUAAUAUAUUUUGCUACAUUCAGUUACCUGCUUUUCUAUGUAUGCAUGGUUGCACUUAAUGCAUAUUGAAAUGCUCACCUAGUUUGUGGAGAUAAUGCUUUCUGCCUGAAAUUCAAACCUUCAUUGAUCUAAAACAUCUUACAGUAUCAUCAAUUUAAGAGUACAUUUUGUUAGCGUUAGAUUAAUAUUAAUAUAUGCUUGACACUUAUAUUUUUUCUUUUCUAAUAAACUUAGUAUAGCAUCUCGGCCAAGUUUUUUUUUAAGGAGUAUGGAAGGAAGAGAAAAGGUAUUUCCUUUUACCUGAAUACUUUUUUUUACUAACACGAUCUUAUAAAGUUAUAUAGUUUGUAAUGGUGAAAAUUGGAAUGGUCUGUUAUUUCGUGUUUUGUACAGUAUUAGGCAUAAUAGACAAAAGUUAAUAUUUUAUGAUGCUGACCAGUUGGGAGUUUUUUUUUUUUUUGGUUGUUCAGAAAGGUAGCAAUAACCUAGAUUUUAUAAAUUUGUAUGGUUGUUAAUGAUGUCUGUUAUUGCUAAUGAUGUCUGCUGUGUCAGUGUUAUUAAAUAUUCUUCCCAAAAGCAUAUACAAUACCCUCCCCUCUUUUUUUGAAGACAUUUUUUGCAAAGUUGAACCUAAUAUUUAGGAAUGAUGUGUACUUUGUGAAUCCAAAAAAAUGUAGAUAAUGUUAUUAAUAUUUUUAAUUACAAAGUGUAUGUGAGACUAAGUGGAAGUAGGUAAAAUAUGAAUUGGUGAGAGAGAGAAGAUAAUGUCUUUUAAAAAAAAGGUGAAACAAUGUAGAAAAAAGAGUGACCAAUAAUUCACAAAAAUUUAGUUGAAAAAACAGAAAAUUCUUAGGUAAUAGCUACCAUGUAACCUGGAAUUAUGAAUGGAUAAAACCUAUGCUAUUUUGAAGUAUUACUAUUACACAGUUGGAAGUUGUAUUGAUGAGUUCUUUUUGUUGUAUACAAGUGUAGAGCAUCUGCAACAUAUUAAACAAGUUAAAUAAUAAUUUUAGAGUUUGAGAUUUCAGUAAAAAUUUUGCUUUGUUGACUGGUGAAUGAAUGCUGAACUUAGGUCUACAUGAAGUAGCAUUUAACUUCCCAACCAAGGACAUAAUUAGUUGAAUGGGAGAGUGCUUGGAUUUUGCAUUUGGUAUAUAUUGAGUUGUUGCCAGAAAAUAAAAAAUGGUUAACUAAACUAAAAUUGUUUUAGUGCAGAUGAUACUAAAUGAAAAUUUAUGGCGAUAUUUGUGUUAAGAGUCAAAGAUAAGGUUUGUACUGUGGUGUCUUGUGCUGAACUGUUGAGAUUUAAACCAAUUGGUAAGGUAACUUUGCUCAUAUAGAAAGAAUUAAAAGAUUUAUUAAACUAAGAUUUUAAAACAUUUAAGCAGUGCUAAGCCAAAAUGUAAUAUGUGAUUACUGUUACAAAGGAGAGUGAAUGUUAGACUUUUAAUAGUUCUUUCUGUCAUGAGAUUCUAAUAAAGCUGUCUGAAAUUUUAAAUCAGUAACAGAAGUGCGGGUAUUUUAACUGUUUCUUUACUCUUCGGUAAGAUUUGAUGUAAAGAUUGGUUUAAGUGUAUGUUAAUAUGGUAGUGUUAGAAAAUUUGUUCGAUUAUCGAAUAAUGAGAUAAAUACGUGUUAGCUGGAUUUAUUCGUGAGGCUGGGGUAGAAGUAAAUGAUAAAGCUUGGAUUGUGAAACAUUUAUUUAGUGGUAUUGUCAUUUAAGAUAAAUCCGACUAUCGAGGUAAAUAAGAACAAAUGUUGACUGAUUUUUAUCAGGGUACAAGGCCUUGCCCUUUUUGAUUCUGAUUCUUACAGCUGUUAUUGAUCUAUUGAGUUAUGCUUACUGAUGUUAUGUCACUUUAGCAGAGGGUAAUCAAACGCUUGUACUCUUUAUUUUUCUUUUCUAAGCUAACAGGUUGACAGUACUUAUAGCAAUGGGCAUGGGAAGCUAAGUAAAGGGGCGAGUGAGAAUAGCUCCUGACUUUCUCUAAACCUCUUUCUCUGUUGUAGGCAUCAUCUCAAAUGUAGGUGCCUGUAUUACGCAUAGCAAACAUAAUAUGUUUUGACAUAGUAUUGCUUCAUUUGCAAUCACUGCUAACAUCUUUUAUAUUAAAAAAAAAAGGUGGGGCAGCAUACCAGCCAAUUAGACAAUGACUGAAGCAGAAUAUUCCUACCAAGUUUGAUAAAGGUUGAAGAAAAGGUCGAUUUUUGCACAGUUAUAAAACAUUCACCAGUCAUGCACAUAACACAUCGUAAUUGCUUACGAUUAUUCGUGGUGAUUGUUCUAAUCAUGGCCAGCUUUAUAUGUUGCUUCUUCAUUAUAAAUUUACAAACUUUAAUCAAGAGCUCUUUGUGAAUUUAAUCGUGAAAUUUCAUCUUAUUAAAACAUCAUCUUUUCUCAAAAUUAUACUCUAUUCCUGUUAACUGUAGUAUGAUGCUGUGGUGUUUUAUGCCUUCUAAAUAUUUAACCCUGGUCAAUUAAACAUGGCAUUAUCAUGAAAUAAUUGGGAUAUUUCAAAUUAAUUUGCGAUGAUCCAUCACAUAAUCCAUGUGGCAGGUAUGAAUGUGUAAUGGUGAUGUUCAUGUAGGCUGAGUUGAGUUUUAUCAUAAUUGCUCAGUGGGUUAAUGUUGGAUUACGUUAGUAGAAUUGAGUAAAACAACCUCAUCUCUUAAAAAGUUUCCACUUUUGACUCAAUAAAUAUGUGAAUAGAACUAAAGCAAAAAAUAGUUCUGUGUGCAUGACAGGAUAAGCAAAGCAUCGAGUCACAUUUACAAGUUACAAAUUUAUGACUUCAGUACUACAAUUUUAUGACUUUAGUAAUAAUUGCUCUGGGUCACCUGGAGCGGAGUACAGCCAAUCAACAUCAGUGGCAGACUCUGGUUGAGGCGUUAUGUACAACCUGAUGCAUGAUACUCCCAAUAAGAAAGUAAAAUUUUUGUUAAAAGUAACAUAUUUAGUGAUGAAUUAUUACUCAUUGUUCUCAAUUAUUUACCGUAUUACUGACAUUGUUAUUUAGAGUGUACUCUUUACUCACACGUAAGAAUAUUUUGUGCAUUUAAUUUACUGUACUCGCACUUAAGAAUAUUUUGUGAAAUCAUCUAUUUAGAAAUAACAUUUUUAGUAAAUAUCACCCUUAAUCCUUGAAAUAGUGACAAGUAAAUAUUACUCAUUUAACUUACAGCUAAUCAUUUUACUCAAGUGCAUUCUUUACUCCGACUAAGAAUGUAAUAUUUUGUUAAAAGUAUCAUAUUUAGUGACUAUUAAUAUAAGUCAGGAAUAAUUAUUUCUUGUUGCACUCAAUGUUAAUUAUUUAAUGUUUUACUGACAUUUUUAUUUAGAAUGUACUCUUUACUCGCACUUAAGAAUAUUUUGUGCAUUUAACUUGCUGUUUAUCAUUUAACAUAAUGCCUACAUUGUUAUUUCAAGUGUAUUCUUUAUUAUCACUAAGAAUGUAACAUAUUUAGUGACUAUUAAUAUAAGUGACAAAUAAUUAUUACUUAUUGCAUUCGGUGUUAAUUAUUUAAUGUAUUACUGACUCUAAUUUAGAGCGUGUACUCUUUACUCGCACUUAAGAAUAUUUUGUGAAAUCCUAAACUAUAUAGAAGUAACAUUUUUAGUAAAUAUCGCCCUUAAUCCUUGAAUUAGUGACAAGUAAAUAUUACCCAUUUAACUUACUGUUAACUAUUUAACAUAAUGCCUGCAAUAAGGGAUGAAUAAUUAUUAGUCAUUGCACUCAAUACCAAGACUAAUCAUUUAAGAUAAUGACUACAUUUGUUAUUGCAAGUGAAUUCUUUACUCUGACAAAGACUAUAAUAUUUUGUCAAAAGUAGCAUAUUUAGUGAGAAAUAAUUAUUACUUGUUGCACUCAAUUAUUUACCGUAUUACUGACAUUGUUAUUUAGAGUGUAGUCUUUACUCGCACUUAAGAAUAUUUGUGAAAUCCUAAAUUAUAUAGAAAUAACAUUUUUAGUAGAUAUCACCGUCGGUCAUUGAAGGAGGGACAAGUAAUACUCAUUAACAUAAUGCCUACAUUGAUAUUUCAAGUGUAUUCUUUACUCUGACUAAGAAUAUAUGUUGUUAAAAAUAACAUAUUUAGUGGCUGUUACUAUAAGUGACAAAUAAUUAUUACUUAUUGCAUUCGUUGUUAAUUAUUUAAUGUAUUACUGUCUGUAAUUUAGAGUGUGUACUCUUUACUCGCACUUAAGAAUAUUUUGUGAAAUCCUAAACUAUAUAGAAGUAACAUUUUUAGUAAAUAUCGCCCUUAAUCCUUGAAUUAGUGACAAGUAAAUAUUACCCAUUUAACUUACUGUUAACUAUUUAACAUAAUGCCUGCAAUAAGUGACGUAUAAUUAUUACUCAUUGCUUUCAAUGUUAAUUAGCUAAUGUUGUACUGACAUUGUUUUGUAGAGUGUACUCGUUACGUGCACUUAGGAAUAUUUUGUGAAAUCGUAAAAUCGUAAAUUAUAUAGAAGAAAUAUAUUUUUAGUAAAUGUCACCGUUAAUCUUUGAAUUAGUGAAAAGUAUGUGUUACCCAUUUAACUUCCAGUUAAUCAUUUAACAUAAUGACUACAUUGUUAUUACAAGUGUAUUCUUUACUCCAACCAAAACUAAUCAUUUAAUAUAAUGACUACAUUGCUAUUGCAAGUGUAUUCUUUACUCUGACCAAGACUUUGAUAUUUUGUUAAAAGUAACAUAUUUAGUAAAAAAUAAUUGUUACUUGUUGCACUUAAUGUUAAGUAUUUACUGUAGUACCGACAUUGUUAUUCAGAGUGUACUCUUUGCUCGCAGUUAAGAAUAUUUUGUGAAAUCCUAAACUAUAUAGAGAAGUAACAGUUUUAGUAAAUAUCAACGUCAAUCAUUGAAGGAGUGACAAGUAAUACUCAUUAACAUAAUGCCUACAUUGUUAUUUCAAGCGUAUUCUUUACUCUGACUGAUAAUAUGUUGUUAAAAAUAACAUAUUUAGUGACUAUUAAUAUAAGUGACAAAUAAUUAUUACUCAUUGCAUUCUGUGUUAAUUAUUUAAUGUAUUACUGACUGUAAUUUAGAGUGUGUACUCUUUACUCGCCCUUAAGAAUAUUUUGUGAAAUCCUAAUCUAUAUAGAAGUAACAUUUUUAAUAAAUAUCGCCCUUAAUCCUUGAAUUAGUGACAAGUAAAUAUUACCCAUUUAACUUACUGUUAACAUUUAACAUAAUGCCUGCAAUAAGUGACGUAUAAUUAUUACUCAUUGCUUUCAAUGUUAAUUAGCUAAUGUAGUACUGACAUUGUUUUGUAGAGUGUACUCCUUACGUGCACUUAGGAAUAUUUUGUGAAAUCGUAAAUUAUAUAGAAGAAAUAUAUAUUUAGUAAAUGUCACCGUUAAUCAUUGAAUUAGUGAAAAGUAUUUGUUACCCAUUUAACUUACCCUUAAUUAUUUAACAUAAUGACUACAUUGUUAUUGCAAGUGUAUUCUUUACUCCAACCAAAACUAAUCAUUUAACAUAAUGACUACAUUGCUAUUGCAAGUGCAUUCUUUACUCUGACCAAGACUUUGAUAUUUUGUUAAAAGUAACAUAUUUAGUAAAAAAUAAUUGUUACUUGUUGCACUUAAUGUUAAGUAUUUACUGUAGUACCGACAUUGUUACUCAGAGUGUACUCUUUAUUGCACUUAAGAAUAUUUUGUGAAAUCCUAAACUAUAUAGAGAAGUAACAGUUUUAGUAAAUAUCAGCAUCAAUCAUUGAAGGAGUGACAAGUAAUACUCAUUAACAUAAUGACUACAUUGUUAUUUCAAGUGUAUUCUUUACUCUGACUGAUAAUAUGUUGUUAAAAAUAACAUAUUUAGUGACUAUUAAUAUAAGUGACAAAUAAUUAUUACUCAUUGCAUUCUGUGUUAAUUAUUUAAUGUAUAACUGACUGUAAUUUAGAGUGUGUACUCUUUACUCGCACUUAAGAAUAUUUUGUGAAAUCCUAAACUAUAUAGAAGUAACAUUUUUAAUAAAUAUCACCCUUAAUCCUUGAAUUAGUGACAAGUAAAUAUUACCCAUUGAACUUACUGUUAACGAUUUAACAUAAUGCCUGCAAUAAGUGACAUAUAAUUAUUACUCAUUGCACUCAAUGUUAAUUAUUUACUGUAGUACCGACAUUGUUAUUCAGAGUGUACUCUUUGCUCGCAGUUAAGAAUAUUUUGUGAAAUCCUAAACUAUAUAGAAGUAUUUUUAGUAAAUAUCACCGUCAAUCAUUGAAGGUGUGACAAGUAAUACUGAUGAACAUAAUGCCUACAUUGUUAUUUCAAGUGUAUUCUUUACUCUGACUAAAAUAUAAGUUGUUAAAAAUAACAUAUUUAGUGACUGUUAAUAUAAGUGACGAAUAAUUAUUACUCAUUGCACUUAAUGUUAAUUAUUUAAUGUACUACUGACAUUGUUAUUUAGACUGUACUCUUUACUCGCACUUAAGAAUAUUUUGCGAAAUCAUAAACUAUAUAGAAGUAACAUUUUUAGUAAAUAUCGCCCUUAAUCCUUGAAUUAGUGACAAGUAAAUAUUACCCAUUUAACUUACUGUUAACUAUUUAACAUAAUGCCUGCAAUAAGUGACGUAUAAUUAUUACUCAUUGCUUUCAGUGUUAAUUAGCUAAUGUAGUACUGACAUUGUUUUGUAGAGUGUACUCCUUACGUGCACUCAGGAAUAUUUUGUGAAAUCUUUACUAUAUAUAUUUAUAGAAGUAACAUUUUUAGUAAAUAUCGCCCUUAAUCCUUGAAUUAGUGACAAGUAAAUAUUACCCAUUUAACUUACUGUUAACUAUUUAACAUAAUGCCUGCAAUAAGUGAUGAAUAAUUAUUACUCAUUGCACUCAAUACCAAGACUAACCAUUCAACAUAAUGACUACAUUGUUAUUGCAAGUGUAUUCUUUACUCCGACCACGACUAUAAUAUUUUGUCAAAAGUAGCAUAUUUAGUGAGAAAUAAUUAUUACUUGUUGCACUCAAUUAAUUACUGUAUUACUGACAUUGUUAUUUAGAGUGUACUCUUUACUCGCACUUAAGAAUGUUUUGUGCAUUUAACUUACUGUGCUUGCACUUAAGAAUAUUUUGUGAAAUCAUAAACUAUAUAGAAAUAACAUUUUUAGUAAAUAUCGCCCUUAAUCCUAGAAAUAGUGACAAGUAAAUUUUACCCAUUUAACUUACUGUUAACUAUUUAACAUAUUGCCUGCAAUAAGUGACAUAUAAUCAAUGUUAAUUAUUUACUGUAGUACCGACAUUGUUAUUCAGAGUGUACUCUUUGCUCGCACUUGAGAAUAUUUUGUGAAAUCCUAAACUAUAUAGAAGUAUUUUUAGUAAAUAUCACCGUCAAUCAUUGAAGGUGUGACAAGUAAUACUGAUGAACAUAAUGCCUACAUUGUUAUUUCAAGUGUAUUCUUUACUCUGACUAAAAUAUAAGUUGUUAAAAAUAACAUAUUUAGUGACUGUUAAUAUAAGUGACAAAUAAUUAUUACUCAUUGCACUUAAUGUUAAUUAUUUAAUGUACUACUGACAUUGUUAUUUAGACUGUACUCUUUACUCGAACUUAAGAAUAUUUUGUGAAAUCCUAAACUAUAUAGAAGUAACACCAUUAAUCAUUGAAUUAGUGACAAGUAAAUAUUACCCAUUUAACUUGCUGUUUAUCAUUUAACAUAAUGCCUACAUUGUUAUUUCAAGUGUAUUCUUUAUUCAGACUAAGACUAUAUAAUAUUUUGUUCAAAGUAACAUACUUAGUAACUAUUAAUGUAAGUGAAGAAUAAUUAUUACUCAUUGUACUCAAUGUUUAUUGAAUUAGUGACAAGUAAUUCUUACCCAUUUAACUUAGUUAUUAUUUCACAUAUUAUUUCAAGUGCAUUCUUUACUUUCACUCGAGAAUAUGCAUUUGGUUAAUCACUUAAUUAUUAGAUUGAUUAAUUAUAGUGCAUUAAUUAUCUGAAUGUUAAUUUAUAUGAAAGUAACAUAAACUAGAAAAUUUUGUACCACAAUGUACCCAUUCUUCCGCCCCUGAUUUAUUUAUGUAUAGGUAGAACAAUAAGCUCACCUUUACAUAGGGAAAUGCAAUUUAUAAACUUAUUUUGACUUAAGUAGGUAAAUGGUCAACAGAACAAACUUGCACAUUUAUAAUAUUCUUACUUGAUGACUUCAUUGCAUUUAUGGAUAACUGUAGGUAGACAAAAAGGUCAGCACAGAGAAAGAACUAUGCAGAUAAGUAAUGAAAAACAGUUGUGAAAGAUGCAAUGAGAAAUCCAGGAACAAACAAUAAGGAUGGAUAGUGUCAUCAAUCUGCAGAGAAGAGGUUGACUUCAAUCAUCAAAACUAUUUACAACUUUGUUGAUGGAUUUAAGGAGUAAUGCUUGUGAAUAUGGUUCUUUAGUGCACAUUUAAAGGAUUUGAUAGUGGGUAGAUGGCUGAUAUUUAAGAGAAAAAUCCCACCAUUUUGCAGCACAGUAACUAAAGAUUUGGUUAUUAUGGUGACAGGGAUGGAGAGCAGACGACCAUCAGACAGUGGAGUAGUUUGGCUGAGAUGUAGAGGAAGAGAAGGUUAGAGAAAUAGUGCAAGUAGCCUACUAAGAAAGUAAAAACUGAAUGUGAGGUAUACAAAAUGUUGUAUUUCUACACUUUGCGCACAAAAUAACAUUCCUAAUGCAGAAGUGGCUUGUGGUUGAAACUGGCAUAAAAAGAGGGAGGAGAAAUGUCAUAACAGUGUAAAGGUGACUAGGAUUUGUUCCAAGAGAUUGCUACGCCUUCAGAAACGCCUCGAUCAGAAUGAUGGAUCUAACGUGUUUGACAGUUGUACCAAGUUAAAAUGUAAGGUUAUAAAAGGUUGCAAGUGAUGAAAUAUGAAGCAUUGCAGUCUGAAGAUGGCUGAAAAAGUUAAGAUAAAAUGAAAAAGUGCUACAAGUGAAAUGUAAUAUUGGAAAGAAUGUGACUUAAAAUGCAACAAAAAAUGCGACAUGAUGGAAAUCUUACUGAAAGAUUGAUAAUGGUCUUGUCAGAGACUGCAAACCAGUCUGUUGUGCAAUAACCUUGUAAAGGAUUAAAUGCAAAGAUUACAUGAACACGUGACAAAUCUGCAAAUUUGAGGUGAAAUUUAUCACGAAAACCAUCAUGUAUGAAUAAAAACAAAGAUCUUGUGAAGAUUGAGGCUUCAUACAUUAAUCUAAGAAGUUGUGCAAGGUCUACAAUACACAUGUAUCUUUUACGACUGUUGGAGUGUUGAGCUAAGAAAGUGCUAAUGAAAUUGAGAGCAUACUGAUGAUCAAUGAAACUCAAAUUGAAAGUGUAUUUUUGUGGAAACCGAACAAAGGAAUCUUAAAAAAUAAUAGUAGAUUAAGGGUCAAGAUUUAAAGUGAAUCUGCUGAAAGACCCAAAAGCAGACAUGGAAUUUGAUGUUGACCAAUCAAACAUCAUUGGAUGAUGAUGCUCAAGAAUUGACAUGAAGCAAAUGUGCAAGAAGUCCUAAGAUUUGUUGAAGCACAUAAAAAUUUGAUGUUGACCAAUCAAACAUCAUUGGAUGAUGAUGCUCAAGAAUUGACAUGAAGCAAAUGUGCAAGAAGUCCUAAGAUUUGUUGAAGCACAUAAAAAUUUGAUGUUGACCAAUCAAACAUCAUUGGAUGAUGAUGCUCAAGAAUUGACAUGAAGCAAAUGUGCAAGAAGUCCUUAGAUUUGUUGAAGCACAUAAAAAUUGGCAAAAUGAGGAAAAAGUGAAUGGGGAGAAAAGUGAAAAUGCAAAGCAAACCGGAAAGAAAUAAGUUUUACAGUAAACUGAACAAAGGGUCCCAUCUAAUGCAGAGUGAAACAACUAAGAUUAUAAUUUGUAUGUAAAUUAUGCAAAGGGACAUUGGUAAUAAUGUUGAGAAGUUAAAGAAUCAUGUUAAUUAUUGGCGGAUCAAAAAGAAGCCUCGAGCUAAGCAUGGUUACAAAAGUGAAGAUGAAAUUAUAGAAAGAUGGACAGAAAAUUAUGAAAAUCAUUGCAAACGAGUUCAGAAAUGAGAAAAAAAUUGGUAAGUUAAAGAAAAAUAUGUGAAAAAGCAUAGAUGUGAUGUGACCAAUAGUAUAAAGGCAAUCUAUGCACAAGUGUAUAUAUGAUGGAUAAACAUACAAGAAAUAGUAAAAAAUACCAAUGGGUCAAGUGCAAAAAACUGACCAAAUUGACAAAUUUAAGGAAAAAGAUGGGGGAAAAGCAUAAAUGUGAAGCAGCCAUAAGGCUAUCAACUAAGACAAAUGAUGCACAAGUGAAUGAUGGCUUUGUCAUGAUUUUAUGGUAAAAUGAACAAAAGUUAAAAUGUGAUUCAAAAUUAUAAGUUUGAAUUCUUAAUGCAGCAGUGUGAUGGUUAAUAGGAAAUGGUGAACAUGGUAUGGAUAAAAGUGUUUAUUAUCUCAAAUUUCAUAUUUUGGGGAUAAUGUAAAUAUGGUAAAAUUUAUGUGUGAAAAAUGUUGCUUGUGAUGUUCAUGACACAGCAAUUUGAAAGCAAUAAUGCGUGAUAUCCGUUGCUAAUUAGAAAUGAAAAUAGUAUAAGUCAUCUGUAUUUAAAAUACACACAAUUGUGUGUGCAUACAUGCUUCUUAGAAGGAGCCAUCAUGACCAUAGGCUUUAGCCAUUGACUUCUGAGUUUUAUUUUAGUUUUGUUCCAAGAAAAAUAUUUGGUAGUCUGCAUGUUCGGAUGUUUAAAAUUUACCAAAAGAAAUGGUGGAUUAAGAUGAUGAAUGCACUAAAUAGGUCUGACAUGAGAAGUAGUAAUUUUAAUAAAUCUUUACCUUAACACAAUUUUUAUUUUAGCAUUUGUAAUAAUUCGAACCUAGAAACAUUGUAUGUUUUAACUCUUGCAGCAUAGAGAGUGAGCUAGCCCUCUUCUUCUACACAAAAAAAAAACCCAACAAACCCAAAGGACUAAACAGAUGGAAAUUAUAAUUUUCUUAAUUCCUAAAACCCAUACAGAUAAAGAUGUAGCCAUAAAAAUUUCAUAUUAGCUACUGGUUUAGUGAUAUUCUCAUUAGGCAAAAUUAAGAGAAAAAAUUAACCAUUAGCACGAUGGGCCACGAUCGUGGCUUUGUCGGGAAGCACUGGAAUGGUGUUUUUUAUUACUUUUAUUGCAAAGUUCAAGUUUUAUCCCAGAGCAGUAAUAAUAAAAACAAACUUCACUCACUGUUAUCUUAACUGUCUUCAGUUAUAAACCUGUCAUUGUAAUGUUAUAUUUUUAUAUGGUGGUAAGAGGGUUAAUUACAAUGGUUAGAAACUUUAAUAUAAUAACCUCAGUUAAAAUUAAAGAUAAUUUGAACAUCAAUGGGUUCAAAAUACAUAAAAAAUCAUAUUGGUCAUUUAAACAUGUAACAAUGAGCACAAAAAAUACCUUAAUGGUACAGAAUUCAAAGCCAUGCUUGCAUUGAAAACUAUACCUUCCACCAGACACUCAAAUGACUUGAUAGAACUAUACUUACAAUUCUUACAUGGAUACCUAAAAUCUGUAGAUUUUAUUGUGUCUUUCAGUGUAGUAAAAAUGAUUGAACCUUAUAAAAAAAAAAAAAGGUCACAUUGUCGUAUUUUAUUUAACAUGCUGAUGCUUUUCAGUGCCAAAAGAUUUUCUCUGCCAAAAGCAAGAAAGUAUGAGCAAAAUUAGCCAACUUUGUUUUAGUAUUAAAAAAUGUAUUACAGGAAGACACAUUUUGUGUGUGUAGUAUAUAUGGUAUAUUAUGUUUACACAAGGUGACUGAAAUGGGAGAAGUCAGGUAAAUGGUAUAUGAGAGUUAUAGUCACUUCAAAGUGACAAAAAUGGAUUUGAGACAUAAAAAUUGAAAUGAAAAGAACUAGUUAGAAAUGGGUAAGGAAUGCAGAGCGAGUUAAUUGUUGUGCUAAAAAGAUAUGAAAUUGGGAGAAAUAUGCAAAGGAAGAAAAUUAUAAAUAUUUGAUAUGGAAUUGAACUAUUCUGGCAAUGUUCAUUAUCAGUCUUUCUGGGAUGGUGAAAACAAAUUUAAAUCUCUAAAGCACAAGAUUUUACAAUCAUAAAAUAUCCCAUGUAUAUGUAUAUGUACCUUAUUAACUCUUCUUCAUCUUACUAGUAUGCUUCUUCUCUCAUCCACACUAGUUUCAUUGUUUUUAUGCAAGCUAUUUAAGUGAAAUCAUGCAUAACAAUAUUAAUCCCAUUUGUCUUCUCCUUAACUGAGAUAAUAUUCACAUACAUCUUUUUAUUUCUGCAUUAUGCGCAUAUUAGGGUAAAGAUGCACAGAUAACACUGUUUAGAGAUCUAUCAGGCCAUUGCAUAACAAUACUAAUUAAAAAUUACAUCUAUAAUUGUGAAAACAGCAACAUGAAGGCAAAAUUAUGAAAGAAGCCUUGGUUUGUGGAAGAAAAUGAUGCACAUGGAUUGCUCUGUACUCUGCAUGCUGAUAAACAACGUAACAACAAUAACAGAGAUAGCAACUUGCUAAACUCUUU
Pomacea canaliculata is the source of this 24832-nucleotide long non-coding RNA. RefSeq lists it as uncharacterized. The record is from RefSeq and is a predicted model, not a curated record. The transcript has 2 exons. NCBI's taxonomy places the organism in Eukaryota, Metazoa, Mollusca, Gastropoda, Architaenioglossa, Ampullariidae.